AUGGCACCAUAUAGGCUAGCAGCUUUUGGAUUCAGAGGUGCUUUGAAAUUACAGCACAAAUACUAUGGUCCAUUUGUGAUUGUGCAAAGGAUAGGCAACUCUGCAUAUAAACUCCAGUUUCCAGAGCAUGUCAAAAUUCAUCCAGUUUUCCAUGUGAGCCAAUUGAAAAAGCAUAUUGGUCCAACAUCCAUCCCUAGUGAGAAUCUCCCAAUGGUCAAUCAAGAUGGUACCAUCAAAACUGGCCCAGCUGAGGUCUUGCAAGUCAGACAAGUUCCCCGACAUAACUUGCCAGUGGUUCAAUGGUUGAUACAAUGGCAAAAUCUAUCCAUGGAGGAAGCCACCUGGGAGGAUGCAGACUUCACUAAAUAUACAUUCCCAGAGUUCUUCAAGGCCACAACGCAAGCUUGGCGUGAUGCAGCUCAAUCGCCGUGA
This 432-nucleotide ribosomal RNA is filed under the name Triticum aestivum (bread wheat). RNAcentral's name for it is "partial small subunit ribosomal RNA". The record is from RNAcentral. Lineage: Eukaryota; Viridiplantae; Streptophyta; Magnoliopsida; Poales; Poaceae.